RNAcentral lists this ribosomal RNA (253 nucleotides) under uncultured bacterium. RNAcentral's name for it is "partial 16S ribosomal RNA". It matches the Rfam family "Bacterial small subunit ribosomal RNA", at positions 524 to 776 of the family's 1533-position model. The record is from RNAcentral.
UACGGAGGGGGCUAGCGUUGUUCGGAAUUACUGGGCGUAAAGCGCACGUAGGCGGCUUUGUAAGUUAGAGGUGAAAGCCCGGGGCUCAACUCCGGAAUUGCCUUUAAGACUGCAUCGCUAGAAUUGUGGAGAGGUAAGUGGAAUUCCGAGUGUAGAGGUGAAAUGCGUAGAGAUCGGGAGGAACACCCGUGGCGAAGGCGGCCGGCUGGGGGUUACCUGACGCUGAGGCGCGAAAGCGUGGGGAGCGAACCGG